This is a long non-coding RNA of Planococcus citri (citrus mealybug), 754 nucleotides long. RefSeq lists it as uncharacterized. NCBI's taxonomy places the organism in Eukaryota, Metazoa, Arthropoda, Insecta, Hemiptera, Pseudococcidae. The transcript is spliced from 4 exons. The record is from RefSeq and is a predicted model, not a curated record.
CGAUGAUGAAUAUGAAAAAAAGACAUGGUGUUACGACCUUCAAGAAGAGAGAUUCCUCUACAAAGAAAUAGUCAACGAUCCGGCGAUUGUCAAAGUAAUCAUAGGAAUUGUGGAAUAUGGAACUUCGAAUAAAUAUGUAACUGACGUUCAACUUAAACUUGAGGAAACUUUGGAGGAAGAAAUCUCUAUAGACUUUAAUGCAGCGAUUCAACCCGUAGAUGCAGCCAAACCAGAAGCAAUCACUAAAUUAUUCAGCCCCGACGAAAACGGAACGGUAUACCUAAAAGAAGACCCUGACGAAUUGAACAAUUUCAGAUUAUCCAGUUUGUUCUGCAAACGUUUAGUUCUAAACAUAUUGUGCAAAGAUAUCGAGUACAAAAAUACUUUUUGCAAUGCUAUUGCACGUAAGCCUGCGAAGGUAACCAGAUCUAUUUUUCCACUUCCACAUACUAAAAUCGAAUUACAUAUACACCACGAACGUCUACCGCAAAAAAAGGUUCCACACGACGGUACACUGGAACUGGUAUUUUUCAAAACACUCGAGUUGUCCUACCUUCAAGAAACAAAACUCGUUCUCUUAAAUAACACCAAACACACGGUUGGUUCGUUUAAAGAGUUCGUCCAAUUAUUUUCGAAAAAAGACCACCAAGUAUAUGUUCUUGAAAACGAAGGAUGGAAGGUGGGAAUUACGGCUUCGAGUACUGACUCCCAUCAGCGUUACUCAGUCAUUAAAACAGAAGUAAUCGACCCAAAA